This is a non-coding RNA of Camelina sativa (false flax), 796 nucleotides long. The record is from RefSeq and is a predicted model, not a curated record. Lineage: Eukaryota; Viridiplantae; Streptophyta; Magnoliopsida; Brassicales; Brassicaceae.
CUAGCCAUUACUCAGAUUCUGAAUCAAUCUGAUCUAUGAAUCCUCCGUUUCGUUUCCUUUGUUUAGCUAUCACCCAGAAAGAAUCUGAUUUUGAGAAAAUCUACGAGAUUCUCUAGCUCUAGGUUCUAAGUUUUAUAGUCUGUUGGGUUGGUUUAUCUGUUUCCUCUGAAACAUAAGCUUCGAUCGAACUUGUUAUUUAUUACUUACACAGACUCUAGCUAUUACUCAGAUGCUCUUUUAGUUUCCUGGCUUUUGCUAUUAACCAUAGAAUCUGAUUUUGAGAAAAUCUACUAAAUCCUCUAGCUCUAGGGUUUAAGUUUUAGUCUGUUGGUUGCUUCAUGGAACAUAAGCUUCGAUCGAUCAUCUAACCAACUUCUUCUGGGUUUGCAAAAUUGCCUUUCAGAUUCGAACUAAGGCCACACGGACAAGCAUUGUCUUCUUCUAUGGGGAGGGAACUUAGCAGACUACGCUUUUUGACCAGGAGAAUGACCGGUAAGGAUCUUGAUGGUCUGAAUUAUGCCGAGCUUCUCGUAGUUGAAAGCCAGUUAAGGGUUGCACUUCUCAUUGUGAAGAACCAAAAGAAGAGAGUAAAGCUGCUAAAAGAUGAAAGGCUGUGCAAACAAGAGGUUAAGAUUUUAUAUCAUAGACAGUACUAUCAAUCUGAGAAGUCUCACAAGGACAUGAGCGGAAAAUGUAAAUGAGCUAAGAUGUGCGUUUUUGAGCCUUGGGUUUUGGUUUCUCAUGUGAUUUUGGAUCUGCUUGUUUCCAAGUUUGACAAAAGUGUAGGAAAGAACAA